UUCUUUUCUUAGGGCUGCACCGGUGACAUAUGGAGCUUCCCAGGCCAGGGGUCUAAUCGGAGCUGUAGCUGCUGACCUACACCAAAGCUACAGCAAUGCCAAAUACAAGCUGCAUCUGUGAUCUACACCACAGCUCACGGCAAUGCCGGAUCCUUGACCCGCUGAGCAAGGCCUGGGAUGGAAGCCACAACCUCAUUGUUCCCAGUCGGAUUCCUUUCUGCUGCACCACGACGGGAACUCAUCAGGGCAUUUUUUGAGUACUGUUUAAAAAGCCUCCACAAAACUAUAUUUUUGACAUAAAAUUUAAACUUAGGCAAAUUAUUCCAUACCUCUUUAAAACAUGGCAUGUAAGUUUGGAGUUCUUUUUCUCUCAGUGUAGUGAUUCUUUUUUUCCAAUUUGGUUCAUAGAUCCUCUUGAGAAUGUAGUGAAAGUUAAGGGUCCUCUUAAGAGAAAAAUGCACCUACCCAUGGAACAGAACACAAUCUCACUGUGGUCCUAGGCUCCCUUGUCCCCUCAAGUCUCUCCAUGCAACCCCAGAUUGAAAACCCCAUAGUAAGCCAAAGAUAUAUUUAUUGCAGAAGACUCAAAUUUGAAUUUGAAAUUCAUGAAUUCCAAGUGGUUAUGGAGCUUGAUAAAUCAUCCUUUACCAUUGCUAAUAUCACAAAGGGAAAACUUUGAAUCGAUUUGAUUUCACAGGCCAUGUGUGAAUAUUGAUUUCAGUCCUGCCACAUAGCCUUCUGCAUGCUGAGUGAAGAGACUAUUCUGCCCUCAUUUCAAGGUGAGGCUCUUCUACUCCAGCAAUAAAUACUGAAAACAAGGCACAUAAGAUCCAACUGUCUCAAAUGCCAUCCCAGGCAGCUCCUUUAAGUGUCUAAAAGAUAAGAUAAAUAACAUUGAUACUUCUGCAUGUGGUUAUGUGUCCCUUCUUGCCACAGAAUUGAAACUAGAAACUACUUGAAGUUUCCAAAUCUAUGUCAAAAGCCAGAUGAUUAUGAAAGCCCACAAUGUUUGAGUCUUUAAGGGCAAAAAUCUUUAAUGUUUAGCUCCAAGUCAUAGUUUAUUUUAUGAAAGUGUAAAAUACAUUAAAAGUCUUGAACUAUUUUAAAAAAUGGAAUAUUUUUUUUCUGUUUGUAAUGUAUCAGCCUUGCAUCAGAUGUUUAUUUCAUUAACAUAUUUAUGGAACAUCUCCCUUAAACUGGUUUGUGUUCAGAUUGCCUAUGGCAGAUUAACUCAAUAUAAUGCUUAUUCUUUUAGUUACAUUUUUAGUUAUUCUUGUAUUGCAGACAUCAUUACAUAAUCCACCCAGAAUGUGCUUUAAAAUAUCUACAAAUCUAUUUAAAAAUAAGAAAAUGAUUUAAGAUGUUAUUAUGUCAGGUGGUUUGACUAAUUUUCAAUGAAGCAUAUUAUUCCUCUUCAAAGGUGUAUUGUUUUAGGGAUGUUAUAUUUCAAAACAUGUUAAAAAAUUAAUAGUUUAGUUAGAUUUUCUGUGAGAUUUUAAAGUUCUGAUUCUUGGUGUAUAAAAAUAAAAUGAGAAAACUGUCUUUCACAUUACCCUCUAUGGUAAUUACUAAGAAACAUUUCCAGGGAUGGAUGUAUAAUUUUUAAAAAGUUAUAUUGAAAAAGAAAACCCUGUAAAAACUCAAAAAUAGUUAUCAAUUUGACAUGGGUGUAGCAUUUAAAGUCCCAGAUUUUAGUAAUCCAAAGUUGUGUGUUCAAAAACAUUCCUUCAAGUAACAGAGACAAACUAUUCAAAUUUUACUUUUGAUAAGUAUCUGUUUGAGGUUUUUAAACUCAAAAAUUCAAAAUUAAAUUAUAUGGCACCAGAGGUAUAUAUACUAUUUAUUUCCAAAAAUGAAACAAAAGGAAAGUGUUUUUAAUGCUUAUCUUCUACUUCAGAAAUAUAAACUUCAAAUAUUACUACUUGAAACUUCAGAUAAUUGGUCUGCACACACUAUUUUCUUUAGACGAGACAUCUUUGCUUUGAAAAAAAAAAAAAACACAGUUCACUGAAAGCAUACCAUAUGUCAAUAAACAGCUAAAUACAUUACACAUAUAGUUUAAUUUAAUCCUCAGAACAACACCAUGUGGGAAAUGAUGUUGCCAUUUUAAAGAUGAAGAAGGUGAGGAUUAUAGAAGCUAGUACUUCCUAAGACUGGUGAAGCUGCAUCCUCUUAACUCCAAAUUCCGACCUCUUCCCCAUAUCCAUUAUAAACAACGUGGUAUUAAAUGUCUUUUCUAAUGCCACAACUUGUGAAAUGUUACAAAAAUAUUAAAAAAUUGAUAUUUUACUAUAUAAAGGCAUCCUACCACUGUGGUGACAAGUAGGGCUAUGGAGCAAGACUGUCUGGGGUUAGAUUCCUGACCAUAGACUCAGUGGUUUAAAUUCACCACUCAGGUCUUCAGUUCCUACAUCUGCAAAAUCAGCAUCAUCAACUAAUGCUAAUUUCACAGACUCAUGAUGGAAAUAAAAUGAAAUUCAUUCAACAAUAUGUGGAAAUUACUAAAAAGGGCCCUAAUAGAAAUCAUAUUUUUCUUGUCUUUUUGGGGCCUUACCCAUAGCACAUGGAGGUUCCCCAGGCUAGGGGUUCAAUCAGAGCUGUCUGCUGGCCUACACCACAGCCAUAGCAAUGCAGGAUCCAAGCCGUAUCUGAGACCUACACUACAGCUCACAGCAACACUGGAUCCUUAACCCGCUGAACGAACCCAGGGAGUGAACCCAUGUCCUCAAGGAUACUAGUCGGGUUCGUUAACCACUGAGCCAUGACGGGAACUCCCAGAAAUCAUAUUUUAUGUUUUUUCAUCUCUGCUUAAUGCACCUGAUCCUUGUUAUAGAAACUAAAUACACAGGUUGCCUUCUAUCACCCUCCAAGACAACCAACUCUAUAUAUUUUCUGGGCAUGAGCACUUAAUAUUGAAAAAUAUUCCAUUCUAUGAAAACCCAGCCAAAGUCUAACAUAGCAA
Molecule: long non-coding RNA, 2962 nt
Filed under: Sus scrofa (pig)
Lineage: Eukaryota; Metazoa; Chordata; Mammalia; Artiodactyla; Suidae
Description: lncRNA (ENSSSCG00055017587.1)
Source: RNAcentral